RNAcentral lists this long non-coding RNA (810 nucleotides) under Nicotiana tabacum (common tobacco). RNAcentral describes it as "long non-coding RNA (NTAB_LNC008471)". Lineage: Eukaryota; Viridiplantae; Streptophyta; Magnoliopsida; Solanales; Solanaceae. The record is from RNAcentral.
GGGUAUUUUGGUAACUGCAACAACUGUUGGGACAUGGGCAGGUUCAAAGUAUGAGAUUGCAUGUACAAUGUGUGCAGCUUGUGACAACCCCUGUGCCACCCCAUCUCCGCCACCUCCUCCGCCGCCAUCAUCCUCUAACAAUUGUCCUCCGCCACCCUCUCCUCCUAGCUCCGGUGGUGGAAAUUACUAUUAUUCACCACCACCACCACCCUCCUCCUCCUCUAGUGGUGGUGGCGGCGGCAAUUCCUUUUACUCACCACCUCCACCUGGUGGUGUAAUUGGUGGUUACUACCCUCCACCCUACCAAAAUUACCCUUCUGGCCCUGUUCCUCCACCUCCUAAUCCUAUUGUUCCCUAUUUCCCCUUCUACUUCUAUAAUCCUCCACCACCUUCACAAUCUGCUGCUUUUAAGCUCACUCAUUAUUAUUCUUCUUUUAUCACCACUAUGUUCAUUCUCUUCUACAUUUUCCUUUGAGAAUUUUCCAAGGAAAAAUGUAAAAAUAAAGUGUCGGAAUCGCAGAUCUACAAACUUGCAGAGGUGAGAGCAAGAUGGAUUAAUCCUUUUCCUGAAGAUUAUUCAAUUCUCUUCAGAGAAAGAAAGGAGAAAAAUGGAAGGGUGAAUUGAAUAGCUGAAGUGAAGUUCUCUUCUUGCUCUCAUCCUGUGGAGAAUCUGUAAAUUCUUGACCAUUGCUUCGCAAUUUUUAGCUUCUUUUUUUGUUAACUUAAUUCAUAUUAAUGUUUCUAAUUCGUAUAGAAUGUAAGAAAAUUACUUUAGUCAAUUUUGCAAGAAUUACAAAGUCAACUUCUAAC